This 87-nucleotide transfer RNA is filed under the name Patescibacteria group bacterium. Its description in RNAcentral is "tRNA-Ser". It matches the Rfam family "tRNA". From Rfam's summary of the family: Transfer RNA (tRNA) molecules are approximately 80 nucleotides in length. The record is from RNAcentral.
GGAGAGGUGGCUGAGUGGUCGAAGGCACCUGACUCGAAAUCAGGCGUGCUCGAAAGGGUACCGUGGGUUCAAAUCCCACCCUCUCCG